Molecule: ribosomal RNA, 253 nt
Filed under: uncultured bacterium
Lineage: Bacteria
Description: partial 16S ribosomal RNA
Rfam family: Bacterial small subunit ribosomal RNA
Source: RNAcentral
UACGUAGGGUGCAAGCGUUGUCCGGAAUUAUUGGGCGUAAAGAGCUCGUAGGCGGUCUGUCGCGUCUGCUGUGAAAACUCAGGGCUUAACCCUGAGCUUGCAGUGGGUACGGGCAGACUAGAGUGCGGUAGGGGAGACUGGAAUUCCUGGUGUAGCAGUGAAAUGCGUAGAUAUCGAGAGGAACACCAGUGGCGAAGGCGAGUCUCUAGACAACUCCUGACACUGAGGCACGAAAGCUAGGGGAGCAAACAGG